Molecule: small nuclear RNA, 136 nt
Filed under: Dasypus novemcinctus (nine-banded armadillo)
Lineage: Eukaryota; Metazoa; Chordata; Mammalia; Cingulata; Dasypodidae
Description: U4 spliceosomal RNA (ENSDNOG00000029426.1)
Rfam family: U4 spliceosomal RNA (bases 1-82)
About the family: U4 small nuclear RNA (U4 snRNA) is a component of the major U2-dependent spliceosome. The structure of U4 snRNA from yeast and human has been reported. U4 snRNA presents a k-turn RNA motif in the 5p-SL related to recognition of Snu13 protein.
Source: RNAcentral
AGCUUUGUGCAGUGGCAGUAUUUUAGCCAAUGAGGUUUAUCUAAGACAUGAUUAUUACUAAUUGAAAACUUAAAAAAAAAAAAGACAGCAAGCUGACACUUCAGGCUGGCUCAGUGAGAUGAUGCAACAAGGGAUG